CCUACGGGUGGCAGCAGUGAGGAAUAUUGGUCAAUGGGCGCGAGCCUGAACCAGCGAAGUAGCGUGAAUGAUGACUGCCCUACGGGUUGUAAACUUCUUUUAUAAAGGAAUAAAGUGAGGCACGUGUGCCUUUUUGUAUGUACUUUAUCAAUAAGGAUCGGCUAACUCGGUGCCAGCAGCCGCGGUAAUACGGAGGAUCCGAGCGUUAUCCGGAUUUAUUGGGUGUAAAGGGAGCGUAGAUGGGUUGUUAAGUCAGUUGUGAAAGUUUGCGGCUCAACCGUAAAAUUGCAAUUGAUACUGGCAGUCUUGAGUACAGGUGAGGUAGGCGGAAUUCGUGGUGUAGCGGUGAAAUGCGUAGAUAUCACGAAGAACUCCGAUUGCGAAGGCAGCUUACUAAACUGCCACUGACAUUGAUGCUCGAAAGUGUGGGGAGCAAACAGGAUUAGAUACCCCGGUAGUC
This 460-nucleotide ribosomal RNA is filed under the name uncultured bacterium. RNAcentral's name for it is "partial 16S ribosomal RNA". It matches the Rfam family "Bacterial small subunit ribosomal RNA", at positions 338 to 795 of the family's 1533-position model. The record is from RNAcentral.